UUAUUUAUUUGUUGUUAACAAUAUAACAUAUAGAGUAUGAUAUUUUUCCAUUACAGAAAGCAUAAGAAAUUUCUUAAGAGAAGGCAACGGAAUUUAAAGCCACGACAAAUACAAUCAAUGUCUCAUCUAUCAUUUCAUAAGUGGUUUAAUGAAUGUGAACAUAAUGAAACGUAAGGCAACAACAAACUUGGAAUUAGAAUUGCAUGAAGGACUUUCUCAGGGUUCAAAUUCGUAGUCCCAUAGUUCCCAUGGUUCACAAGAAGAGGACGUGGGGACUACUGAAAGCAAUGAGUUAAGACCACUGCCCCACACGCUGCGCAAAUGUGCUACAACAUGACACCAAAAAGAAUGGCCAGAUACCAUUAAGUGUGAAUGAGCAUGGACAGCCUAAUGGAGCCGAUGAAAAAAAUUUCGCUAAUUAUUUGGGCACAAUUGCCCGUAAUGGUCGUGCAGCUCCCUUGAACUAUAAAAAUUGGAGGAAAGUCCCUGAAAUAGUUAAAGAGGACAUGUGGACAAUGGUCCGGGCAAGUUUGUAGUAGAAGAAAUCUCAAAAGAUUGGACAUUAUCAUCCCUUGGCAUAAAUGGAGAGAUUGGAAGAGUGAGAUUAAAAGUAACUAUUAUAAAAUUUGGCGUACAGAUGAACAACGAUAUGCAAACCCACCACCAAGUGUUGAGGAGGACCAAUGGGAUUAUCUCAUUAGAUAUUGGCAUACAGAGGCAGCACAGAAACAAAGCCAACAAAAUGAAGUAAAUCGCUCUAAGCAAACAAUGCUGCACACAACUGGGACAAUGAGUUAUGUGCGGAAGGCUGAAAAGAUGAAGUUGGAAUCAGGGAAGGCGCCAACUCGUGCUCAACUAUUUUGCGCAACACAUAAGAGCAAGAAGGAUGGCAAAGCUAGUGAUAAACAUGCUGCCAAAAUGAUUACACAACUAGAAGAGCUUGCUACAACUCAGCCUUCUAACCCAAAUGAACCUUCACCCCACGAUUUUUAUGCCCAAGUUAGGGGAGAAGAAAGAAGGGGCCGUGUUCGGAUGUAUGGCUUGGGGCCUACACCUACUAGUCUUUGGGGGCCAUCUCCUAGGAAAGCGGAGCUGAUAAGGAGGACCUCACAAGUAGAGGAAGAGGCACAUGUUGCUCGUGCAGAAAUGAAUGAGAAAGUGGACAAAAUGUGUGUCGAGUAUGAUGAAAAAUAUGAAGCUUUGAAUGCAAAGAUGGUUAUGAUUUUGCGUCAUAUUGAAAACCAAAAUUCUAAUGUACAGAUAAAUAAUUUUGUUAUUGUACCCUUGUAAACAUUUUACUAUAUAAAUAUUAUAAGUCCUAAUAUAUUUAUAAUUAUAUUCUAUUAUGAAGGUGCAUAAUAAAGUUAUAUUUUAUUGUGAAGGUACCAGGCUCCUCAACUACUACACUUGGUGAUCCUUAAACUUUAUUUUUGGUCAUGGAAUUUCAUCCUUGGGCAAUUUGAAGGAAGACGAGAGAUGAAAUUGAACCAUUUAUUUUCAAGGCCCUCGCAUAGUCUCACUCAAAUUCUCAAUGAAAUGUUGAUGUUUUAUUUUGAAUGAUUUCCCUUUGAACCUUUUAUUAGCACUUGACAUUUUGAAACGAAACUUAGAUGUCAUGGAAUGUUAUUGAAUUUUAAUGUAAUUUUCUUCGUUCUAUGUUACA
Molecule: RNA transcript, 1663 nt
Organism: Cornus florida
Lineage: Eukaryota; Viridiplantae; Streptophyta; Magnoliopsida; Cornales; Cornaceae
Exons: 8
Source: RefSeq, a predicted model, not a curated record